RNAcentral lists this ribosomal RNA (253 nucleotides) under uncultured bacterium. RNAcentral describes it as "partial 16S ribosomal RNA". It matches the Rfam family "Bacterial small subunit ribosomal RNA", at positions 524 to 776 of the family's 1533-position model. The record is from RNAcentral.
UACGGGGGGGGCAAGCGUUGUUCGGAAUUACUGGGCGUAAAGGGCUCGUAGGCGGCCAACUAAGUCAGACGUGAAAUCCCUCAGCUUAACUGGGGAACUGCGUCUGAGACUGGCAAGCUCGAGUGCAGGAGAGGAACGCGGAAUUCCAGGUGUAGCGGUGAAAUGCGUAGAUAUCUGGAGGAACACCGGCGGCGAAGGCGGCGUUCUGGACUGCAACUGACACUGAGGAACGAAAGCCAGGGGAGCAAACGGG